GAUAAACGCUAGCGGCAGGCUUAACACAUGCAAGUCGAGGGGCAGCAUAGAUUGUAGCAAUACAAUUGGUGGCGACCGGCGCACGGGUGCGUAACGCGUAUGCAACCUACCCGUCACAGGGGGAUAAUCCGGAGAAAUCUGGUCUAAUACCCCAUAACAUAUGGAUCGGCAUCGGUUCAUGUUGAAAUUUUCGGAGGUGACGGAUGGGCAUGCGUAGCAUUAGCUUGUUGGUGAGGGAACGGCUGACCAAGGCGACGAUGCUUAGGGGGACUGAGAGGUUUUCCCCCCAAACUGGUACUGAGACACGGACCAGACUCCUACGGGAGGCAGCAGUGAGGAAUAGUGGUCAAUGGGCGCAAGCCUGAACCAGCCAUGCCGCGUGCAGGAUGACGGCUCUAUGAGUUGUAAACUGCUUUUGUACGAGGGUAAAGUGGGUUACGUGUAACCUUUUGAAAGUAUCGUACGAAUAAGGAUCGGCUAACUCCGUGCCAGCCGCCGCGGUAA
This 504-nucleotide ribosomal RNA is filed under the name uncultured bacterium. Its description in RNAcentral is "partial 16S ribosomal RNA". It matches the Rfam family "Bacterial small subunit ribosomal RNA", at positions 28 to 523 of the family's 1533-position model. The record is from RNAcentral.